This 89-nucleotide transfer RNA is filed under the name Felis catus (domestic cat). It matches the Rfam family "tRNA". From Rfam's summary of the family: Transfer RNA (tRNA) molecules are approximately 80 nucleotides in length. Their secondary structure includes four short double-helical elements and three loops (D, anti-codon, and T loops). The record is from Rfam by way of RNAcentral. RNAcentral also lists the same sequence under 1 other name. Lineage: Eukaryota; Metazoa; Chordata; Mammalia; Carnivora; Felidae.
UCCUGGGUGGCUCAGUCGGUUGAGCAGCUGACUUUGGCUUAGGUCAUGCAUGAUCUCACAGUUCGUGGGUUCGAGUCCCACUUCGGGUU